This is a non-coding RNA of Anas platyrhynchos (mallard), 601 nucleotides long. NCBI's taxonomy places the organism in Eukaryota, Metazoa, Chordata, Aves, Anseriformes, Anatidae. The record is from RefSeq and is a predicted model, not a curated record.
GACUGUGAAGAUUAUGUGCAUAUGAUAAAAUUCAAUCCAUUUGAUAGUGUAGAUGCAUGUUCCCUCAUUGCAUAUGGUGGCAAUAACUAUGUAGUUGUAGGGACAUGUAGAUUUCAGGAAGAGGAUGCAGAAGUGGAAGGCAUGCAAUAUAAGACACUACGAACAUUUUGUCAUGGAAUCAGAGUUGAUGCCAUAGCAAGGAGUCCAGAAACUAGACUUGAUGUUUUACCUCCCCAGAUAAGGUUUUGUACAGCAGCUUCUGAUAGGAAGUUAAGGCUAUUUACUUCAGACCUGCAGGACAAGAAUGAAUAUAAGGUAAGGGUAACUGAGCUGAUUUUGAAUAUUUCUUUAGUCUCUAGUGGAGUCUAAUCUUUCACUGACCUUGUGCCUCACUUUUCUUAAUGUACAGUAUGAUGUAGAACACUAAACUCUGGCAGACCCAUCAUCUCUAGCAAGGAUCAGUGUAUUGAAUAUACCUUUCUAUCUUUAAAGUGGGCAUAACUAAUUAUCAGCUAUAUUAUAUUUUGAUUUAAAAGUAUUUAUGUAACAGCCAAAUUGACAAAAAGUAAGUAGAGGUUUAUUUGUGGUCUAAAACAUGGUC